RNAcentral lists this ribosomal RNA (591 nucleotides) under Brevibacterium sp. RNAcentral's name for it is "bacterial SSU rRNA". It matches the Rfam family "Bacterial small subunit ribosomal RNA", at positions 78 to 680 of the family's 1533-position model. Lineage: Bacteria; Bacillati; Actinomycetota; Actinomycetes; Micrococcales; Brevibacteriaceae. The record is from RNAcentral.
UUGCUGUGGGUGGAUGAGUGGCGAACGGGUGAGUAACACGUGAGUAACCUGCCCCUGAUUUCGGGAUAAGCCUGGGAAACUGGGUCUAAUACCGGAUACGACCAACUCUCGCAUGAGGGUUGGUGGAAAGUUUUUCGAUUGGGGAUGGGCUCGCGGCCUAUCAGCUUGUUGGUGGGGUAAUGGCCUACCAAGGCGACGACGGGUAGCCGGCCUGAGAGGGCGACCGGCCACACUGGGACUGAGACACGGCCCAGACUCCUACGGGAGGCAGCAGUGGGGAAUAUUGCACAAUGGGGGAAACCCUGAUGCAGCGACGCAGCGUGCGGGAUGACGGCCUUCGGGUUGUAAACCGCUUUCAGCAGGGAAGAAGCCUUUGUGGUGACGGUACCUGCAGAAGAAGUACCGGCUAACUACGUGCCAGCAGCCGCGGUAAUACGUAGGGUACGAGCGUUGUCCGGAAUUAUUGGGCGUAAAGAGCUCGUAGGUGGUUGGUCACGUCUGCUGUGGAAACGCAACGCUUAACGUUGCGCGGGCAGUGGCGUACGGGCUGACUAGAGUGCAGUAGGGGAGUCUGGAAUUCCUGGUGUAGCG